This 122-nucleotide ribosomal RNA is filed under the name Notamacropus eugenii (tammar wallaby). Lineage: Eukaryota; Metazoa; Chordata; Mammalia; Diprotodontia; Macropodidae. The record is from RNAcentral.
GCCUCCAUCCCCCUCAUACUGCCACACCACCUGGAACAUGCCUGAUCCAGAAAAGUAAGUAGGGUCAAGUUUUAUUAAUACUCGUAUGGGAGACCACCUGGGAAUACUAAGUGCUGGAGGCU